ACUCUUCUAGUAUAUUCAUUACAAUUGACUUCCAAUCUUUAAAAUCUGGUUUAAGCCCAGAGAAGAGUA
This 69-nucleotide transfer RNA is filed under the name Lanius sphenocercus sphenocercus. Its description in RNAcentral is "tRNA-Gly". It matches the Rfam family "tRNA". Rfam says of the family: Transfer RNA (tRNA) molecules are approximately 80 nucleotides in length. Their secondary structure includes four short double-helical elements and three loops (D, anti-codon, and T loops). Lineage: Eukaryota; Metazoa; Chordata; Aves; Passeriformes; Laniidae. The record is from RNAcentral.